Molecule: ribosomal RNA, 1493 nt
Filed under: uncultured Bordetella sp.
Lineage: Bacteria; Pseudomonadati; Pseudomonadota; Betaproteobacteria; Burkholderiales; Alcaligenaceae
Description: partial 16S-23S ribosomal RNA intergenic spacer
Rfam family: Bacterial small subunit ribosomal RNA
Source: RNAcentral
CACUGUGGUAGUAACAGAGGGUUUGAUUCUGGCUCAGAGUGAACGCUGGCGGUGGUAGGCCUGGGAAUACAUGCAAAGUCGAACGGCAUAAUGGGACCGGUCUUGUAGGCGAGCGGCGAACGGGUGAGUAAUGGUCGAACGUGCCUAGUGGGAUGACUACGCGAAAGCGUAGCUAAUACCGCAUACGCCCUUCGGGGAAAGCGGGGGACCGGGCCGCAAUUUUGUUAGAGCGGCCGAUAUCGAUUAGCUAGUUGGUGGGUAACGGCUCACCAAGGCGACGAUCCGUGGCUGGUUUGAGAGGACGACCAGCCACACUGGACUGGAGACACGGCCCAGACUCCUACGGGAGGCAGCAGUGGGGAAUUUUGGACAAUGGGGGAAACCCUGAUCCAGCCAUCCCGGGCGUGUGCGAUGAAGGCCUUCGGGCCAGGUGCCACUGCAGAAGAUGUUCGGCACGAUGCCAGACACUCUGUGCAACUGACGGUACUGCAGAAUAAGCACCGCUAACUACGUGCCAGCAGCCGCGGUAAUACGUAGGGUGCAAGCGUUAAUCGGAAUUACUGGGCGUAAAGCGUGCGCAGGCGGUUCGGAAAGAAAGAUGUGAAUCCCAGAGCUUAACUGAAACUGCAUUUUUAACUACCGAGCUAGAGUGUGUCAGAGGGGAGGUGGAAUUCCGCGUAGUUAUGAAAUGCGUAGAUAUGCGGAGGAACACCGAUGGCAGAAGGCAGCUCUCCCGGGAUAAAUACCGACGCUCAUGCACGAAAGCGUGGGGAGCAAACAGAUUAGAUAAUUCUGGUAGUCCACGCCCUAAACGAUGCUGUCGUAAAUUAGCUGCUGUGGGGCCUUUCUACCUGGUAGCGCAGCUAAGUGAAGCGACCGCCUGGGUAUAUUGUCGCAAGAUUAAAACUCAAAGGAAUUGACGGGGACCCGCACAAGCGGUGGAUGAUAGGAUUAACGAUGCAACGCGAAACCUUACCUACCCUUGACAUGUCUGGAAUCCCGAAGAGAUUUGGGAGUGCUCGCAAGAGAACCGGAACACAGGUGUUGCAUGCUGUCGUCAGCUCGUGUCGUGAGAUGUUGGGUUAAGUCCCAACGAGCGUAACCCUUGUCAUUAUUGCUACGAAAGGGCACUCUAAUGAGACUGCCGGUGACAAACCGAUAGCGGUGGGAUGACGUCAAGUCCUCAUGGCCCUUAUGGGUAGGGAUUCACACGUCAUACAAUGGUCGGGACAGAGGGUCGCCAACCCGCGAGGGGGAGCCAAUCCCAGAAACCCGAUCGUAGUCCGGAUCGCAGUCUGCAACUCGACUGCGUGAAGUCGGAAUCGCUAGUAAUCGCGGAUCAGCAUGUCGCGGUGAAUACGUUCCCGGGUCUUGUACACACCGCCCGUCACACCAUGGGAGUGGGUUUUACCAGAAGUAGUUAGGCCUAACCGUAAGGAGGGCGAUUACCACGGUAGGAUUCACAUGACUGGGGUGAAGUCGUAACAAGGUAA